GACAUUGUUCAACGGCCGCGGUAUCCUAACCGUGCGAAGGUAGCGUAAUCACUUGUUCUUUAAAUAAGGACUAGUAUGAAAGGCGCCACGAGAGUCAUACUGUCUCCUUUCUCUAAUCAGUGAAACUGAUCUCCCCGUGAAGAAGCGGGGAUAAAAAUAUAAGACGAGAAGACCCUAUGGAGCUUAAAACAAAUAACACUUGCCCCCCAACUUCUAAUUUCAGAAAAAUUUUCUACCCGAGCAUUAUGGUUAUUAGUUUUCGGUUGGGGUGACCGCGGAGUAAAAAGCAACCCCCGCAAUGAAAGACACUCAUCCACUUAGUUAAGGGCUACAACCCUACACAUCAACAAAUUGACACUAAUUGACCCAACAUGUUGAUCAAUGAACCAAGUUACCCUAGGGAUAACAGCGCAAUCCACUUCAAGAGCCCCUAUCGACAAGUGGGUUUACGAC
This 453-nucleotide ribosomal RNA is filed under the name Adenomera marmorata. Its description in RNAcentral is "partial large subunit ribosomal RNA". It matches the Rfam family "Bacterial large subunit ribosomal RNA", at positions 1916 to 2524 of the family's 2925-position model. Lineage: Eukaryota; Metazoa; Chordata; Amphibia; Anura; Leptodactylidae. The record is from RNAcentral.